Molecule: ribosomal RNA, 949 nt
Filed under: uncultured bacterium
Lineage: Bacteria
Description: bacterial SSU rRNA
Rfam family: Bacterial small subunit ribosomal RNA
Source: RNAcentral
CUUACACAUGCAAGUCAACUUGAAUUUGGGUUUUUAACUUAGAUUUGGGUGGCGGACGGGUGAGUAACGCGUAAAGAACUUGCCUCACAGCUAGGGACAACAUUUAGAAAUGAAUGCUAAUACCUGAUAUUAUGAUUUUAAGGCAUCUUAGAAUUAUGAAAGCUAUAAGCACUGUGAGAGAGCUUUGCGUCCCAUUAGCUAGUUGGAGAGGUAACAGCUCACCAAGGCGAUGAUGGGUAGCCGGCCUGAGAGGGUGAACGGCCACAAGGGGACUGAGACACGGCCCUUACUCCUACGGGAGGCAGCAGUGGGGAAUAUUGGACAAUGGACCGAGAGUCUGAUCCAGCAAUUCUGUGUGCACGAUGAAGUUUUUCGGAAUGUAAAGUGCUUUCAGUUGGAAAGAAAGAAAUGACGGUACCAACAGAAGAAGUGACGGCUAAAUACGUGCCAGCAGCCGCGGUAAUACGUAUGUCACGAGCGUUAUCCGGAUUUAUUGGGCGUAAAGCGCGUCUAGGUGGUUAUGUAAGUCUGAUGUGAAAAUGCAGAGCUCAACUCUGUAUUGCGUUGGAAACUGUAUAACUAGAGUACUGGAGAGGUAAGCGGAACUACAAGUGUAGAGGUGAAAUUCGUAGAUAUUUGUAGGAAUGCCGAUGGGGAAGCCAGCUUACUGGACAGAUACUGACGCUAAAGCGCGAAAGCGUGGGUAGCAAACAGGAUUAGAUACCCUGGUAGUCCACGCUGUAAACGAUGAUUACUAGGUGUUGGGGGUCGAACCUCAGCGCCCAAGCAAACGCGAUAAGUAAUCCGCCUGGGGAGUACGUACGCAAGUAUGAAACUCAAAGGAAUUGACGGGGACCCGCACAAGCGGUGGAGCAUGUGGUUUAAUUCGACGCAACGCGAGGAACCUUACCAGCGUUUGACAUCUUAGGAAUGAGAUAGAGAUAUUUCC